UACGUAGGAGACGAGCGUUGUCCGGAAUCACUGGGCGUAAAGCGCACGUAGGCGGAUUGUUAAGUCAGGGGUGAAAUCCUGGAGCUCAACUCCAGAACUGCCUUUGAUACUGGCGAUCUCGAGUCCGGGAGAGGUGAGUGGAACUGCGAGUGUAGAGGUGAAAUUCGUAGAUAUUCGCAAGAACACCAGUGGCGAAGGCGGCUCACUGGCCCGGUACUGACGCUGAGGUGCGAAAGCGUGGGGAGCGAACAGG
Molecule: ribosomal RNA, 253 nt
Filed under: uncultured bacterium
Lineage: Bacteria
Description: partial 16S ribosomal RNA
Rfam family: Bacterial small subunit ribosomal RNA
Source: RNAcentral